GAUGAACGCUGGCGGCGUGCCUAAUACAUGCAAGUCGAGCGAACGGACGAGAAGCUUGCUUCUCUGAUGUUAGCGGCGGACGGGUGAGUAACACGUGGAUAACCUACCUAUAAGACUGGGAUAACUUCGGGAAACCGGAGCUAAUACCGGAUAAUAUUUUGAACCGCAUGGUUCAAAAGUGAAAGACGGUCUUGCUGUCACUUAUAGAUGGAUCCGCGCUGCAUUAGCUAGUUGGUAAGGUAACGGCUUACCAAGGCAACGAUGCAUAGCCGACCUGAGAGGGUGAUCGGCCACACUGGAACUGAGACACGGUCCAGACUCCUACGGGAGGCAGCAGUAGGGAAUCUUACGCAAUGGGCGAAAGCCUGACGGAGCAACGCCGCGUGAGUGAUGAAGGUCUUCGGAUCGUAAAACUCUGUUAUUAGGGAAGAACAGAUGUGUAAGUAACUGUGCACAUCUUGACGGUACCUAAUCAGAAAGCCACGGCUAACUACGUG
RNAcentral lists this ribosomal RNA (497 nucleotides) under uncultured bacterium. Its description in RNAcentral is "partial 16S ribosomal RNA". It matches the Rfam family "Bacterial small subunit ribosomal RNA", at positions 28 to 507 of the family's 1533-position model. The record is from RNAcentral.